Long non-coding RNA from Vespa mandarinia (Asian giant hornet), 1140 nucleotides. The record is from RefSeq and is a predicted model, not a curated record. NCBI's taxonomy places the organism in Eukaryota, Metazoa, Arthropoda, Insecta, Hymenoptera, Vespidae.
UUGAAGUUAAUCAUUUUUAUUGAAUUGAUUCAUUGAUAAGUACCAUUGUAAAUAAAGAAUUUAUUACAAUAAAACGGUACUUAUUUAUGAAUCAAUCCGAUAUAUCUAUCCUUGACGUUGAUUAGAAAUACAUAUAUUAAUCGUUUAAAGUUAUUAACGAUUAUUAAUAAAACUUUUAACGAAGUUGCUACGUAAGAAUGUGAAAUGAAAUCUCUCACGAACGUAUUCGCUCAUAUACACACGAAUAUACGCGUACACAUGGAUACAUCAAAGAAAUCUCUCAUUAGUAUCCUCAUAUGUAUCUGCGAUGUAUAUAUGUGCAAACAAACAUGAAAAAAAGAUUAAUUAUCGGACCAACUUAAUUAAAAAUACGAUCAUCUUUUGUUUUUGUUUUUGUCGACCAAUUCGAAGUGUAAAAUUUUUUCUAAGGAAUACCUUAAGGCAAUUGUGUCGAAGGAUAAUUAUUGAAUGUAAGGAUAAUUAUCAAACGACAUGCACAAAAAUUUUGGCUAUAAGAUGUUUAAUAUUGUUGUGUUGAGCACUGCGAUAUAUACAAUUCAAGGAAGAAGAAAAGAACGAAAGAAGAUGACGAAGAUGAAGAUGAGAAUGAAGAUGAUGAUGAUGACGAAGGAGAAGAAGAAGGAGCAAUAAAUAUGGUAAUUUAUGAUAGUAUUCGAUGCGCUUCAAUCGUCUAAUCAAUUCUGAGUACGACAAUAUAUUUUGAAAGGGAGAAGUAACAGUUUCCAUUGUAUGUACGUGAGAAUGAAUGAUUCGCAAUAAAACACAUUCAAAGGCCUCUAUGUACGUAGUAUUACAUAUUAUUAAUAAUGUUAAUUGCUGUGAAAAAAAUCUUAGAACAUUUCCGAUUACGAAUUUUCAGGAAAUAGAUAAAUAAAUAAAUAAAUAAUAUUAUAUACAAGAAAUAUUCUUCGUCGAAUGUAUAUUAAAGAAUUAUAUAUAUUAUAUAUAUUAUAUACCAACGUCUGAAUAUAUAAAAAUGAAAAAAAAAAUAUUGGACAAAUGUUAUCGAAUGAAAAUGAUGUAAUUAAUCUGUGUUGACAAUCGCCAAUGUUCUGAGCUUAGAAUGAUCGAUAAAGAAAAAAAAAAAUAAGAGAAAAGAAAAGAUAAAAAAGCGUCUUA